UGGGGAAUAUUGGACAAUGGGGGAAACCCUGAUCCAGCGACGCCGCGUGGGUGAUGAAGGCUUUCGGGUCGUAAAGCCCUGUCAGGAGGAAAGAAUGCUCCUAUGAUAAAUACUCAUAGGAAGUGACGGUACCUCCAAAGGAAGCACCGGCCAACUCCGUGCCAGCAGCCGCGGUAAGACGGAGGGUGCAAGCGUUGCUCGGAAUUACUGGGCGUAAAGGGUGCGUAGGCGGCCUUUCAAGUCCGGCGUGAAAGCCCAGGGCUCAGCCUUGGAAGUGCGCUAGAAACUGAAUGGCUAGAGUAUCGGAUGGGAGAGUGGAAUUCCUGGUGUAGCGGUGAAAUGCGUAGAUAUCAGGAGGAAUACCGGUGGCGAAGGCGACUCUCUGGACGAUAACUGACGCUGAGGCACGAAAGCGUGGGGAGCAAACAGGAUUAGAUACCCGCGUAGUCCCUGAGCGGGCUGGCAAGGCGCAU
This 473-nucleotide ribosomal RNA is filed under the name uncultured bacterium. RNAcentral's name for it is "bacterial SSU rRNA". It matches the Rfam family "Bacterial small subunit ribosomal RNA", at positions 355 to 825 of the family's 1533-position model. The record is from RNAcentral.